RNAcentral lists this ribosomal RNA (377 nucleotides) under uncultured organism. RNAcentral describes it as "partial 16S ribosomal RNA". It matches the Rfam family "Bacterial small subunit ribosomal RNA", at positions 527 to 897 of the family's 1533-position model. The record is from RNAcentral.
GUAGGUGGCAAGCGUUGUCCGGGAAUUAUUGGGGCGUAAAGCGCGCGCAGGCGGUUCUUUAAGUCUGAUGUGAAAGCCCACGGGCUCAACCGUGGGAGGGUCAUUGGAAGCUGGAGAACUUGAGUGCAGAAGAGGAAAGCGGAAUUCCACGUGUAGCGGUGAAAUGCGUAGAGAUGUGGAGGAACACCAGUGGCGAAGGCGGCUUUCUGGUCUGUAACUGACGCUGAGGCGCGAAAGCGUGGGGAGCAAACAGGAUUAGAUACCCUGGUAGUCCACGCCGUAAACGAUGAGUGCUAAGUGUUAGGGGGUUUCCGACCCUUAGUGCUGCAACUAACGCAUUAAGCACUCCGCCUGGGGAGUACGGCCGCAAAGGCUGA